Molecule: ribosomal RNA, 326 nt
Filed under: uncultured eukaryote
Lineage: Eukaryota
Description: partial 18S ribosomal RNA
Rfam family: Eukaryotic small subunit ribosomal RNA
Source: RNAcentral
CCCUUAGAUGUUCUGGGCCGCACGCGCGCUACACUGACGGAGGCAGCGAGCAUGUCCUUCGCCGAGAGGUGUGGGGAAUCUUGUGAGUCUCCGUCGUGCUGGGGAUAGAUGGUUGCAAUUGUCGAUCUUGAACGAGGAAUUCCUAGUAAGCGCGAGUCAUCAGCUUGCAUUGAUUACGUCCCUGCCCUUUGUACACACCGCCCGUCGCUCCUACCGAUUGGGUGUGCUGGUGAAAUGUUCGGAUCGGCCGUUUGUCGCGGUUUCCGCGUCAUGUGGCUGAGAAGUUCAUUAAACCCUCCCACCUAGAGGAAGGAGAAGUCGUAACA